CCUUGAAUUUGAGCACCUUCUGUUUCCUCGGCGGGUUCGCCCGCCAACGAGGACCCCUUGAACUCUUUGUAGUAGCAGUAUUUGUCUGAAAACAAAGUUAAUUAAUUAAAACUUUCAACAAUGGAUCUCUUGGUUCUGGCAUCGAUGAAGAACGCAGCGAAAUGCGAUAAGUAGUGUGAAUUGCAGAAUUCAGUGAAUCAUCGAAUCUUUGAACGCACAUUGCGCCCCUCGGUAUUCCGUGGGGCAUGCCUGUUCGAGCGUCAUUUAAACCUUCAAGCUCAGCUUGGUAUUGGGUGCUUGUCCCGCCUCUGCGCGGCGACUCACCUCAAAGUCAUUGGCAGCCCGCAUCCGCCGGCCGUGAGCGCAGCACAGUCGCACUCUAGGUAUUUGGCAGGUCGGCUCUCCAGAAGCACUUCUUUUAUUAUUGACCUCGGAUCAGGUAGGGAUACCCGCUGAACUUAAGCAUAUCAAUAAGCGGAGGAAAAGAAACCAACAGGGAUUGCCUCAGUAACGGCGAGUGAAGCGGCAACAGCUCAAAUUUGAAAUCUGGCUCUUUCAGAGUCCGAGUUGUAAUUUGUAGAGGGUGCUUUGGCGUUGGCCGUGGUCUAAGUUCCUUGGAACAGGACGUCACAGAGGGUGAGAAUCCCGUACGUGGCCGCCGGUCUUCGCCGUGUAAAGCCCCUUCGACGAGUCGAGUUGUUUGGGAAUGCAGCUCUAAAUGGGAGAUAAAUUUCUUCUAAAGCUAAAUAUUGGCCAGAGACCGAUAGCGCACAAGUAGAGUGAUCGAAAGAUGAAAAGCACUUUGGAAAGAGAGUCAAAAAGCACGUGAAAUUGUUGAAAGGGAAGCGCUUGCAGCCAGACGUGCCCGCAGUUGCUCACCUGGGCUCUCGCCCGGGGCAUUCUUCUGCGGGCAGGCCAGCAUCAGUUCGGGCGGUUGGAUAAAGGCCUCUAUCA
RNAcentral lists this ribosomal RNA (954 nucleotides) under fungal sp. RNAcentral describes it as "eukaryotic LSU rRNA". The stretch from base 426 to 954 matches the Rfam family "Eukaryotic large subunit ribosomal RNA", at positions 1 to 534 of the family's 3401-position model. The record is from RNAcentral. Lineage: Eukaryota; Fungi.